This is a non-coding RNA of Procambarus clarkii (red swamp crayfish), 170 nucleotides long. NCBI's taxonomy places the organism in Eukaryota, Metazoa, Arthropoda, Malacostraca, Decapoda, Cambaridae. The record is from RefSeq and is a predicted model, not a curated record.
CAGGCGUAGGUCCCUCCAACUUGUCACUAUAUAUCACCAGUAUUCUGCUCCUUAUUCCUCUUAGCACCGAUAUAGUUCAAUGCCACACGUUUAGAAUCACUUCUUCACUAUCCUAUUCACUAUUUGUUAUGAUCUUCACUAUCACAUCUAGUUUGAUAGUGUGUGUGGGG